AUGUCUGGUGAGUUUAAUGGUUUGCAAGCUAAAAUUAUGAGCGAGAACAAAUCAGCAUAUUAUGUACAUUGUUUUGCUCAUAAACUCAACUUGGUUGUUGUGGCUAUUGCAAAGAAGAUAUUCGAGGUCGGAGAUUUCUUUGAUAUGGUUUCAGUUUUGCUGAAUGUUGUGGGCGCAUCUUGCAAGAGAAAAGACCAACUUCAUGAGCAUCACCAAGAAGAAGUGAGGAAAGCAAUAGGAUGUGGAGAGAUUGCUACGGGGAGUGGACUGAAUCAAGAAUUAUCACUUCAAAGACCAGGUGACACUCGAUGGAACUCCCAUUAUAAAACAUUGUUGGGUUUGUCCAAGAUGUUCUCGUCGGUGGUUAAAGUACUAGAAUAUGUUGAGAAAGAUGGCACAGAUACUGGAAAGAGGCGUCAAUCUAGAGGUCUUCUCAAAUAUUUCCAGACCUUUGAUUCUGCAUUUUUCUUACACAUGAUGAUGAUAUUAGCUUUAACAAAUGGGCUGUCAAAAACCUUACAGAGAAAGAAUAAAGACAUUGCAAAUGCUAUUUCAGAUGUGGAAUCAACUAAACGAGAGUUAGAAAAGCUCAGAACCAAUGAGGGGUGGGAUUCUCUUAUGAAGAAGGUAUGUUGUUUCUGCGAGAAGCAUGACAUUCCAGUCCUCAACAUGGAAGAUGCCUAUGUUAAACCAAAGAAGCCAAGACAAAAGACCGGCAUUAACAAUGAGCAUUAUUAUUGUGUUGAUUGUUUCUUUGCUGUGCUAGAUCUGUUAGGAGAAGAGUUUAAUGACAUAUUUAAUGAGGUAAAUUCUGAGUUGCUUCUAUGCAUGUCUGCUUUGAGCCCAAGUGAUUUAUUUUGUCAUUUUGACAAGGAGAAGUUGCUGAAAUUAGCAAAGUUUUAUCCUGGUGACUUUAAUCACAAAGAUAUGGUGACUCUUGAGCAUGAACUUGGCCUCUAUAUAGAUAAUAUACUCCAUGAUACAAGGUUUUCCAGCUUGGAGAGAAUAAGUGAUUUGGCUAAACUGAUGGUGGAUACAAGGAAGCAUCUCUCAUAUCCUUUGGUAUAUCGGCUUUUGAAGCUAGCUCUAACUCUCCCUGUUGCCACUGCCACCGUUGAGUGA
This 1122-nucleotide ribosomal RNA is filed under the name Triticum aestivum (bread wheat). RNAcentral describes it as "partial small subunit ribosomal RNA". Lineage: Eukaryota; Viridiplantae; Streptophyta; Magnoliopsida; Poales; Poaceae. The record is from RNAcentral.